UGGGGAAUAUUGCACAAUGGGGGAAACCCUGAUGCAGCGACGCCGCGUGAGUGAAGAAGUAUUUCGGUAUGUAAAGCUCUAUCAGCAGGGAAGAAAACGACGGUACCUGACUAAGAAGCACCGGCUAAAUACGUGCCAGCAGCCGCGGUAAUACGUAUGGUGCAAGCGUUAUCCGGAUUUACUGGGUGUAAAGGGUGCGUAGGUGGCAUGGCAAGUCAGAAGUGAAAACACGGGGCUCAACCCCGUGACUGCUUUUGAAACUGUCAGGCUGGAGUCCAGGAGAGGCAAGCGGAAUUCCUAGUGUAGCGGUGAAAUGCGUAGAUAUUAGGAGGAACACCAGUGGCGAAGGCGGCUUGCUGGACUGGUACUGACACUGAGGCACGAAAGCGUGGGGAGCAAACAGG
Molecule: ribosomal RNA, 404 nt
Filed under: uncultured bacterium
Lineage: Bacteria
Description: bacterial SSU rRNA
Rfam family: Bacterial small subunit ribosomal RNA
Source: RNAcentral